Molecule: ribosomal RNA, 279 nt
Filed under: uncultured bacterium
Lineage: Bacteria
Description: partial 16S ribosomal RNA
Rfam family: Bacterial small subunit ribosomal RNA
Source: RNAcentral
UAACUCCCGCCGGCGACCGGCGCACGGGUGAGUAACACGUAUGAAACCUGCCCGUAGCAGGGGGAUAAGCGGAAGAAAUUCCGUCUAAUACCGCGUAACAACCCGAGGAGGCAUCUCCUCGGGUUUAAAGGAAGCGAUUCCGGCUACGGAUGGUCAUGCGUCGCAUUAGCUAGUUGGCGGGGUAACGGCCCACCAAGGCGACGAUGCGUAGGGGUUCUGAGAGGAAGGUCCCCCACACUGGUACUGAGACACGGACCAGACUCCUACGGGAGGCAGCAG